Molecule: long non-coding RNA, 362 nt
Filed under: Triticum aestivum (bread wheat)
Lineage: Eukaryota; Viridiplantae; Streptophyta; Magnoliopsida; Poales; Poaceae
Description: long non-coding RNA (TAES_LNC011036)
Source: RNAcentral
CAGGUGGAUCACAUGCGGGAGAUCACGGAGUAGUCAGGGUCGCACGAGAAUAGACAAUGACAUCUAAGGAGAGGAAUAGGAUGCCACCUGCUCCGCCGAAUGCACUCCCUCCAAAGCCAUCGGAUGACUUUAGGCUCUCAACAUCUAAUAGUGAAAAGGAAAACAUCUAAUAGUUCUAGUGCAUUCUUUAGGCUCUCAACAUCUAAUAGUGAAAAGGAAAACAAAUACAUGAAUGAAAUUUUUAGCAAGCAUGAGAAACAAAAUCCAAUACAAAACAGUACCUUGCAUGAUGAUGCAGUAACAGUGCAAGGGUUGCUAAGGAUCUAAAAAUGUUGCUAGAAUGAGAAAUGCAAUGGUUUAUU